This 90-nucleotide transfer RNA is filed under the name Termitomyces sp. T159_Od127. RNAcentral's name for it is "tRNA-Leu". It matches the Rfam family "tRNA". From Rfam's summary of the family: Transfer RNA (tRNA) molecules are approximately 80 nucleotides in length. Their secondary structure includes four short double-helical elements and three loops (D, anti-codon, and T loops). Lineage: Eukaryota; Fungi; Basidiomycota; Agaricomycetes; Agaricales; Lyophyllaceae. The record is from RNAcentral.
GGUGAUAUGGCCGAGCGGUCUAAGGCGCUAGAAUCAGGUGUUACCUAUAUCUAGUCUUUCGAGGCGUGAGUUCGAAUCUCACUGUCGUCA